GAGAGAGACAUGCGCGCAUAUCAAUAAGCGGAGGAAAAGAAACUAACUAGGAUUCCCUCAGUAACGGCGAGUGAAGCGGGAAGAGCUCAAAUUUGAAAUCUUCAAGGUUCUACCUUGACGAAUUGUAGUUUAAAGAAGUGUUUUCUGUUGGAGUUUUGGUAAAAGUUCUUUGGAAUAGGACAUCAUAGAGGGUGAGAAUCCCGUAUUUGACCAUUAUUUCCAGCUUUGUGAUACACUUUCAAAGAGUCGGAUUGUUUGGGAAUGCAGUCCAAAAUGGGUGGUAAAUUUCAUCUAAAGCUAAAUAUUGGCGAGAGACCGAUAGCGAACAAGUACCGUGAGGGAAAGAUGAAAAGAACUUUGAAAAGAGAGUUAAACAGUACGUGAAAUUGUCAAAAGGGAAGCGUUUGACACCAGUGUUGUUUUCUCGAAAAUCAAUUAAAAAAGGCAGGAUUUUGUGUUGUAUUGACUUUAUCAGCUUCUGCACUUCAAUUUUCUUGUCUUUUUUAAUGCACUUUUCGUUUAACAAGUCAACAUCAGUCUCUUUUGUUGUAAAAGGGUCAUUGGAAGGUGGCUUUCUUUUCGGAGAAAGUGUUUAUAGCCUUUGCCUCUGCAAUCGGAGAGAUUGAGGUCUGCAGCGUAGAUCCUUCGGGGUUAGAUACAUUUGUGCUAAGUUAUAGCCUUUUCAUAGACAACUUGUUGACUAUGAUCAGUCAUGUAGCUUACUCGCUUAUGCUAUUUUACCUACGCUUAGGAUGUUGAUGUGAUACUGCGAGCA
RNAcentral lists this ribosomal RNA (775 nucleotides) under uncultured Neocallimastigales. RNAcentral describes it as "partial large subunit ribosomal RNA". It matches the Rfam family "Eukaryotic large subunit ribosomal RNA", at positions 23 to 646 of the family's 3401-position model. The record is from RNAcentral. Lineage: Eukaryota; Fungi; Neocallimastigomycota; Neocallimastigomycetes; Neocallimastigales.